RNAcentral lists this ribosomal RNA (439 nucleotides) under uncultured bacterium. RNAcentral's name for it is "partial 16S ribosomal RNA". It matches the Rfam family "Bacterial small subunit ribosomal RNA", at positions 339 to 795 of the family's 1533-position model. The record is from RNAcentral.
CCACGGGUGGCUGCAGUGAGGAAUUUUGCGCAAUGGGGGUAACCCCGAUGCAGCAACGCCGCGUGGAGGAUGACGCAUUUCGGUGUGUAAACUCCUUUUAUAUGUCAAGAAAAUGACGGUAGCAUAUGAAUAAGCACCGGCUAACUCCGUGCCAGCAGCCGCGGUAAUACGGAGGGUGCAAGCGUUACUCGGAAUCACUGGGCGUAAAGGACGCGUAGGCGGGUUGGAAAGUCAGGUGUGAAAUCCUACAGCUUAACUGUAGAACUGCACUUGAAACUUCUAAUCUAGAGUAUGGGAGGGGGAGAUGGAAUUAGUGGUGUAGGGGUAAAAUCCGUAGAUAUCACUAGGAAUACCUAAAGCGAAGGCGAUCUCCUGGAACAUUACUGACGCUAAGGCGUGAAAGCGUGGGGAGCAAACAGGAUUAGAUACCCUUGUAGUC